This 2144-nucleotide long non-coding RNA is filed under the name Cicer arietinum (chickpea). RNAcentral describes it as "long non-coding RNA (CARI_LNC001646)". Lineage: Eukaryota; Viridiplantae; Streptophyta; Magnoliopsida; Fabales; Fabaceae. The record is from RNAcentral.
GCACACAUGCUGCAUUAAGUUGAAGUAAAAACACACUAAUUAGAAUUGUUUUGCAGAUGAUACUUUCUUUUGAGCUUCCAUUUUCUUUAAUUCCACUCCUUAAGUUUAGCAGCAGCAGUACCAAGAUGGGACCUCACAAGAAUUCUAUGAUUGUGAGUUGUCAUUUACCCUUCUCUAUAUGUAUGCUACUUAAUUUUGGUUGUAACUUUAAGAUGGGAUUAGAUAUUCUUAAAUAAAGAUUGAAAAAAAUGUGACAAUCUUUGUGCAGAUAAUUACUAUCUCAUGGAUACUAGGCGCUGGGAUUAUUGGUAUAAAUGUGUACUACCUCAGUACUGCUUUUGUGAAGUGGCUAAUUCAUAGUAAUCUACCAAAGGUGGCAAAUGUGUUCAUUGGGAUUAUAGUGUUUCCUCUAAUGGUAAUUUAUAUUGUCUCAGUUAUUUACCUUACCUUUAGAAAAGACACUGUUGUGACAUUUAUCGAGACGAAGAACGACACGGUAAUGGCAAGCAACGUGGAAACAUGAAUUAUUGAUAAUGGUCCGUCAGAGUUAAACCAUGUUCCUUAUAGACAAGACUUAGCUGAUAUUCCACUACCAGAAUAAAGAAGGCUAUGAAUCAAAUCAAAUGCCUCACCAAGCAAGAAAUGUCAACAUAGCUUGUGAUGAUUACUAGUUCUCAAAAUGUUAGAAAUUGAUUGUAGUUUUAGGAUCCUGAGAAUCCUCUUUUGGAGUUUACACUCAUGUGCUAGUAGUGUGUAGUAACUUUGAGGUGUGAGUUUUGUAGUUUUGGCAAAAAUAUACAUAAAUUCGACGUUUCAACUAGAUUUUAAUAUUUAUGAUAAUAAUUUGAGAAAAUUUUCAAAUUUAAAAGAUCAAAUGUGUAAUUUGAUAUAAUCUUAAAGGUUAAUGGUGCAAAUUGAAUGUAACUUACAAAACCAAAUUAGAAAAAAAUACACUUAAAGGACCUAAAAAAAAUUGAGCUAAACAUAAAGGACUAAAAAUAUAUUUUUGUAUAUAAUUUUCAUUUUGUAAAAUGAAGUUCAUGAGAAAACUAGUUUAGUGUGAACCUCAUGCAUAGUAAGUAGUUAUUGAAUUUCUCCAGUAAAGUAAUAAAAGACACAACUGAAGGUAUAUCUUACGUUCUGUAUCCAUUGUUAUGCAUUCAUUUUCUCUGAUAAUGUAAAAUUAUUCCUGUCUUCAGUUUAAGUACACUUUUUCAACAAACAUUUAUAGAAAAAGACAAGUUGAAAUGAUCUUACGGUUGUUACUGUCUUCUAAGUAAUAGCUCCUAGUUGCUAUUAGAUUAUGAAUCUUAAUUUUUAAUUUUUUUGAAGAAUAUUUCACAUAAUAAUUUAAUAGUUUAAAAUUAUAGUCUGCAACCGCAAUAUAAAAGUUUUUGUGGAAGUUUCCACAAUAUCAAGAUUCCCAGGGUAACCACAACAACUACAAUUUUGAACCAUACUCAUCUAACUUCUCCACAAGCACCUAUGAGUUUAUAAAAAAUUUAUAACUUAGGGAGCAAGUACUUAUCUUAGUUGAUAUAAACAGCACAAAUUGGACCCUUAGAAAUGUUGGAUACAAGUUGAAGGUUUGAAAAGAACAUAGAAGCAUGAUUGAAAAUAGAAUACUUAUAUUUUGAGAGAAGAAAGUUCAAGGGAAUUCUCCUUUAAAUGUUUCUCAAUUGAAUUAAGAAACAGCUCCUCCUUCUAAUUCUAAACUCAAACUUAAUGAUGAUAACACAAUCAAAGAUUCAUAAGUAACAAUUUGAGGUAUAUGAAUUUCUAUAUUUCUAGGAAAUUCAAAAAUCUCUAUGAACUCUCACAUAUAGCACUAAUUUUGCAGAUAAUUCAGCAGAAUAAACAUGCAUGUUACUAUUGUUUGUAAAAUGAACAUACCUCAGCAAUGGCAUUGAAUUGAAGAGAUAAACAUGUUUGUCAACUAAACAUUUAUUGGGGGUGCCAAUAUGACUGGAUUCUGAGAAGUGAAUCUGGGCCACAGAAAAAUAAAAUGGAGGAGUAGCUUUAAAUAUUGAAAAUAGGAAAGAUAACAGCUUCAAAAGUCUUCUAUAUAACUUUUUUUUUUAGGCAAAGUCUUCCCUACCCUGUCUCUCAAAAGGUUCCCUACCGACAUUUUUUUAAAGAGAAAC